GAAACUGUCUGUUUCUGUUUCUAUAAGACCCAUAACAUCGGUAGAAACUGUCUGAUGUUUCUGUCUCUAUAAGUCCCAUAACAUCGGUAGAUACUGUUUU
Molecule: long non-coding RNA, 100 nt
Organism: Sander lucioperca (pikeperch)
Lineage: Eukaryota; Metazoa; Chordata; Actinopteri; Perciformes; Percidae
Exons: 3
Source: RefSeq, a predicted model, not a curated record